CAGUGGGGUAGAAGAGUGGGACAGACCUGCCUCUAAUCGGAAAGAAUUCCUUUCGCUUAUCAACGAGAACAGGACUUCCUGCAGACAGAUGAUAAAUGCAACUGGCUACGUCGUUGACAGUCACCCCAGCCUGACAGACAGAAAGACCGAAAGGAAAGGAUUCUGUUAAUAAUAAUGUUGGAACCAAAACGUGCUGCCUGGAGUUUGUUCACACCUUGCCUGAUCUUCAUUGACCCACAGAGAGCUGCACCUCUUUGUGAGGAUUUGAGGUGAAAAGACAUGGUGACGCCAGUAAAAACAAGAUCCACACAAAUAUGACGAAUCUGUGCAAAGAACCAAAAAUGUACAGUGCCAAAAAACAUCUUCUCACCCAUUACAGAAAAAAUCAAGAACAGUGCCAGAUGUAAUUGCUGCUCCCAAGGAGUAAUUUUUUUACUCUACUUUAUGCCUAGGAGAAUU
Molecule: long non-coding RNA, 459 nt
Filed under: Salvator merianae (Argentine black and white tegu)
Lineage: Eukaryota; Metazoa; Chordata; Lepidosauria; Squamata; Teiidae
Description: lncRNA (ENSSMRG00000006399.1)
Source: RNAcentral